Molecule: ribosomal RNA, 497 nt
Filed under: uncultured bacterium
Lineage: Bacteria
Description: partial 16S ribosomal RNA
Rfam family: Bacterial small subunit ribosomal RNA
Source: RNAcentral
GAUGAACGCUGGCGGCGUGCCUAAUACAUGCAAGUCGAGCGAACAGACGAGGAGCUUACUCCUCUGACGUUAGCGGCGGACGGGUGAGUAACACGUGGAUAACCUACCUAUAAGACUGGGAUAACUUCGGGAAACCGGAGCUAAUACCGGAUAACAUGUUGAACCGCAUGGUUCAACAGUGAAAGACGGUCUUGCUGUCACUUAUAGAUGGAUCCGCGUCGCAUUAGCUAGUUGGUAAGGUAACGGCUUACCAAGGCAACGAUGCGUAGCCGACCUGAGAGGGUGAUAGCCCACACGGGAACUGAAACACGGUCCAGACUCCUGCGAGAGGCAGCAGAAGGGAAUCUUCCGCAAUGGGCGAAAGCCUUACGGAGCAACGCCGCGUGAGUGAAGAAGGUCUUCGGAUCGUAAAACUCUGUUAUUAGGGAAGAACAAAUGUGUAAGUAACUAUGCACGUCGUGACGGUACCUAAUCAGAAAGCCACGGCUAACUACGUG